RNAcentral lists this ribosomal RNA (301 nucleotides) under uncultured bacterium. RNAcentral describes it as "partial 16S ribosomal RNA". It matches the Rfam family "Bacterial small subunit ribosomal RNA", at positions 509 to 807 of the family's 1533-position model. The record is from RNAcentral.
CAGUAGCCGCGGUAAUACGUAGGGUGCAAGCGUUAAUCGGAAUUACUGGGCGUAAAGCGUGCGCAGGCGGUUCUAUAAGACAGAUGUGAAAUCCCCGGGCUCAACCUGGGAACUGCAUUUGUGACUGUAGAGCUGGAGUGCGGCAGAGGGGGAUGGAAUUCCGCGUGUAGCAGUGAAAUGCGUAGAUAUGCGGAGGAACACCGAUGGCGAAGGCAAUCCCCUGGGCCUGCAUUGACGCUCAUGCACGAAAGCGUGGGGAGCAAACAGGAUUAGAUACCCGAGUAGUCCCUGUCUCUUAUAC